This 2290-nucleotide long non-coding RNA is filed under the name Nicotiana tabacum (common tobacco). RNAcentral's name for it is "long non-coding RNA (NTAB_LNC000466)". Lineage: Eukaryota; Viridiplantae; Streptophyta; Magnoliopsida; Solanales; Solanaceae. The record is from RNAcentral.
AAAGGCUCCUCACGCCACACCGCUUCGCAUUCACAAUCGGUUUCUUCACACAUGCCACAACGAUUCUUCUCUUCCCACAAAGAUUCGUUACUCAACCCUCUGUACCUUCUUUGUUCUAUUUAUGUUUUUACGGGAAAGGAAAAAUCCCCUUUAUCUACUAACCUCUACACAUUUUUCCCUCGCCACAUUUUUUGUCACCAAAUGCUACCUUCACGCCAACGAUGUCUAUGGGGAAAAAACUAUUUCUCGCCAACGGUUUGUAAUACUUUCAAAGUUAAUCUGUAUAAUUUAUGCCCUUUUCUUACAUAUUUGCAUCUUCUAAAAUUAUUUACGUCCUAAUCUUAUUGUAUAGGUGUGGACAACCAAGGAUUGGGCUGCCAAAAAUGUCGUAAAGAGAUUGAGGUACAGUCCAAAGCUUCUCUUCAAUAUUAUGCUUUUCCACAAUUCGUAACUAAUGGUGUGAAUAUUCUAGUCUAAUGUUUCUUCCAAAUCAUUACUAAGGAUGUAAACGUUAUGUUAAGAUUCUAACACACUUUAUAUGUUAUCCUUAAAUGUUAUUUAUAUAUAGUUUAGUGUUAUGCAAUUUAGAUUGUACUAGAUUUGUAUUGUACCAUUAGAUUUUAGUAUUGCAUAGUAGUUCAAUUCCCUGUUACUUUAGUUCUUUUCCUCUAAGACUCACACAUUCAACAAUAAUAAGUUUAAAUGUUAUUUAUAUGUAGUUUAGUAAUAUGAAGUUUUAGCAUGUCUUAGAUUUUAAUCGUACACUCAAAUAUUGGUAUUGGAUAGUAGUUCAACUUUCUCCUUCUCUACACUUUUAUGCUUUGCUUGUAGCAACAUAUGCAUUAAACAUAGCUAUAAUAUUGUAAUGAUCAGAAAACUACUUUUUCCAGCAAAAUUGUAAUGCCUUCUUAAUUUUCAUUUGAUUAUAUGUAAAUUUUUGCUAUAUUCAUAUAAUUAUUUAUGUCCUGCUCUACUCUUUUGUGUUUUGCUUGAAGAGCGACAUAUGUAUUUAUCACAACAAUCGAAGUCUAAGAAUCAAAAAAAGAAAUUACCCCAAUAAUAGUGUCAAUAUCAGGAUAUUUAUUUUUAAUUUUCUCACAUCUUGCCUUUUUGGCCAUAUCUAAGUGCUCAGUCUCUUCCUUCAAAAGACACCCCUCUUACUCUUCAUCAGAAGUUGAACCACACGUUGUGUCCUCUUUCCAAUUCCUGUCUUUUCCCCUCAUUUUUUGUUUGCUGAAUUAUGAUGUGUUUCUACUUUUAUUUGGUGUUUGACAUUAAAUAAAGCACAAAUAUAAUUUAUAUUUUGCUCGGUUCUUAUAGGGUUCAAGUUAAAAUAUAAACUGAUUAGUGUAGUUUUCCAUGUGCUUAGACGUUCAUAUUACAACUUAUCUUUUAUCAUAUUCCCACAAUGGAUUAAAAAAUUAUACAUCAUGCGCAUCAAAUUUCUACGAAUAACUGAGAACUCUGUGAUGAUGACUUCAUACUAUACAAUUACUACAAUGAGUUUUGUUGUGGGUUACACUCUAAGUUACAGAUUAGUUUUAUUGGUAUACUAAAUUAUCUUUAUUCAUGCAAGUUGUAAUGCAACGGAUAAAAAUAUUAUCAUGGUACUAUUUCUUUACGAGGUAGUCUAUGCUUGCAUUCAGAAAAUAAUGACCUUAUUCAAUGGAUAAAACUUAAAAGUGCUACAAACUGUGUAAUCACCGAGAAACAAUUAUAUUGCAGAUCACUUACAAGCAAUUCUGCAUUUUCAUCUUUCCUUCUAACAUUUUGUUUGCUGCAUUAUGAUGUGUUUCUAUCUUUAUUGGGUGUUUGACAUUUAAAUAAAGCAUAAAUGGUAGUUUAUAUGAUGAUCGGUUCUUAUAGAGAUCAAGCUAAAUAUAAACUGAUUAAUAUAAUUUUUCAUGUGAUUAUAUGUUCAUAUUACAACUUAUCUGAUAUCUUACAGGAUUCCUAAUAUAUCUUGCACAUCAAAUUUCUGUGAAUAAUUGUCAAGGUAAAUUUUUAUGCUACUUUUAACUUUUUUUUUAGUUUUCCCCAAUUAACAUUGCAUUUAUCACUGUAACUGGUACAAUUAAAGAACUUGGAAUCUCCAUAGAUUUUAUGUUACAGAUUGAAUAUUUGAAAAAUAAAAAGCACAACUAAGAGCCAAAAUAUUUUGAAGGAGUUUUACUCGAUAAUUAAUUCAAAGAUUGACUUCAAAUAUAUUUGCUUACGUAAAGAUAGUAUAUACGCUAUUACAUUUAUGACUUUUUAAUUACAAUGUUGCAGAUAAAUAGUUUAUAAUGCC